Molecule: long non-coding RNA, 509 nt
Organism: Hyla sarda
Lineage: Eukaryota; Metazoa; Chordata; Amphibia; Anura; Hylidae
Exons: 4
Source: RefSeq, a predicted model, not a curated record
GCUUUGAUUCAAGAGCUGCACUGACACUGUCACAUGAAAUCCCAGCCUCAGACUCCCUAUGGGAAUGGAAGCUUCACUCACUGAAGAGCAUGAAAUCCUCAGCACUUUUGGACACCAGAGUAACGUGCCCUCAUGCAUAAGAAGUCAUUCAUUAUUGGUCAGGAAGUAAAGGGUUACUGCAAGAUUGAGGAUCAUAAAGUGAUGUGCUGAUGGGGGUUGGGUCUAAUGAAAAGAAGUGAUGAGGAUUUCAUGCUCUUCAGCGAGUGAAGCUUCCUUUACUAUCUACCUUGUUUGCGGCAGCAACGCCCUGACAGCACCUGGUCCGGAGGGGAAUAGUGCGUCUUCAUGCUGGAGUAGAUCUAGAUCUGGAAUUCUACAAAGGAGAAGUUGCAAGGGAGUAUGGUCCCUAUAUAUUAUUGAGGUAUAUCCAACUAGUUUAUGACUUAUCUUCCAGCCUCGUAUACCAUUGACCAUCAAUGGGGUCAUAUCUUUGAUUUUCCCUCCUUUCC